Molecule: transfer RNA, 64 nt
Filed under: Graptodytes varius
Lineage: Eukaryota; Metazoa; Arthropoda; Insecta; Coleoptera; Dytiscidae
Description: tRNA-Tyr
Source: RNAcentral
GGUAAAAUGGCUGAAUUUAGGCAAUAAACUGUAAAUUUAUUUAUGAAAAAUAUUUCUUUUAUCA